CAUGCAAGUCGAGCGAAGCGAUCGAGAUGAAGUUUUCGGAUGGAUUCCUGAUUGACUGAGCGGCGGACGGGUGAGUAACGCGUGGGUAACCUGCCUCAUACAGGGGGAUAACAGUUAGAAAUGACUGCUAAUACCGCAUAAGCGCACAGUACCACAUGGUACGGUGUGAAAAACUCCGGUGGUAUGAGAUGGACCCGCGUCUGAUUAGCUAGUUGGUGGGGUAACGGCCCACCAAGGCGACGAUCAGUAGCCGACCUGAGAGGGUGACCGGCCACAUUGGGACUGAGACACGGCCCAAACUCCUACGGGAGGCAGCAGUGGGGAAUAUUGCACAAUGGGGGAAACCCUGGUGCAGCAACGCCGCGUGAGUGAAGAAGUAUUUCGGUAUGUAAAGCUCUAUCAGCAGGGAAGAAAAUGACGGUACCUGACUAAGAAGCCCCGGCUAACUACGUGCCAGCAGCCGCGGUAAUACGUAGGGGGCGAGCGUUAUCCGGAUUUACUGGGUGUAAAGGGAGCGUAGACGGCAGCGCAAGUCUGAAGUGAAAGCCCGGGGCUCAACCCCGGAAUGGCUUUGGAAACUGCGCGGCUAGAGUACCGGAGGGGUAAGCGGAAUUCCUAGUGUAGCGGUGAAAUGCGUAGAUAUUAGGAGGAACACCAGUGGCGAAGGCGGCUUACUGGACGGUAACUGACGUUGAGGCUCGAAAGCGUGGGGAGCAAA
Molecule: ribosomal RNA, 718 nt
Filed under: uncultured bacterium
Lineage: Bacteria
Description: bacterial SSU rRNA
Rfam family: Bacterial small subunit ribosomal RNA
Source: RNAcentral